Rattus norvegicus (Norway rat) is the source of this 69-nucleotide non-coding RNA. The record is from Rfam. Lineage: Eukaryota; Metazoa; Chordata; Mammalia; Rodentia; Muridae.
GGGGGUUUAGCUCAGUGGUAGAGCACUUGCCUAGCAAGCACAAGGCCCUGGGUUCAGUCCCCAGCUCCG